Molecule: non-coding RNA, 232 nt
Organism: Pelobates cultripes (western spadefoot toad)
Lineage: Eukaryota; Metazoa; Chordata; Amphibia; Anura; Pelobatidae
Source: the annotation of a GenBank genome assembly
GUGAUAUAGCAGUUCCCUCCAAUAACGAGACAAGGCUACGUAUUGAGGGUCAAGAAGAUCUGUUUACUUGGCACCAAAGUGCCUUCUUUUAUGCAGGUUUAACACAUACAGGACCGCCCACAAGGGUUUAUAGAACAACCAAUCAUAAAUGUACAUUACAGAAACACUCCCAGCAAUUACAUCCAAGAAUCCUCCCCUCUGCCUGUGAUCUAAUUAUGGCACACAAUGCUUA